AGAGUUUGAUCCUGGCUCAGAACGAACGCUGGCGGCAGGCUUAACACAUGCAAGUCGAACGCCCCGCAAGGGGAGUGGCAGACGGGUGAGUAACGCGUGGGAAUCUACCUUGAACUACGGGAUAGCUCCGGGAAACUGGAAUUAAUACCGUAUGUGCCCUUAGGGGGAAAGAUUUAUCGGUUCAAGAUGAGCCCGCGUUGGAUUAGCUAGUUGGUGGGGUAAAGGCCUACCAAGGCGACGAUCCAUAGCUGGUCUGAGAGGAUGACCAGCCACAUUGGGACUGAGACACGGCCCAAACUCCUACGGGAGGCAGCAGUGGGGAAUAUUGGACAAUGGGCGCAAGCCUGAUCCAGCCAUGCCGCGUGAGUGAUGAAGGUCUUAGGAUUGUAAAGCUCUUCACCGGGGACGAUAAUGACGGUACCCGGAGAAGAAGCCCCGGCUAACUUCGUG
Molecule: ribosomal RNA, 450 nt
Filed under: uncultured Hyphomicrobiales bacterium
Lineage: Bacteria; Pseudomonadati; Pseudomonadota; Alphaproteobacteria; Hyphomicrobiales
Description: bacterial SSU rRNA
Rfam family: Bacterial small subunit ribosomal RNA
Source: RNAcentral